UGGGGAAUUUUGCGCAAUGGGGGAAACCCUGACGCAGCAACGCCGCGUGGAGGAUGAAGGCCUUGGGACGUAAACUCCUUUCGACCGGGACGAUGAUGACGGUACGGGUGGAAGAAGCCCCGGCUAACUUCGUGCCAGCAGCCUCGGUGAUAGCUCAGG
Molecule: ribosomal RNA, 159 nt
Filed under: uncultured bacterium
Lineage: Bacteria
Description: partial 16S ribosomal RNA
Rfam family: Bacterial small subunit ribosomal RNA
Source: RNAcentral